This 502-nucleotide ribosomal RNA is filed under the name uncultured Citrobacter sp. RNAcentral describes it as "bacterial SSU rRNA". It matches the Rfam family "Bacterial small subunit ribosomal RNA", at positions 222 to 716 of the family's 1533-position model. Lineage: Bacteria; Pseudomonadati; Pseudomonadota; Gammaproteobacteria; Enterobacterales; Enterobacteriaceae. The record is from RNAcentral.
CGGAUGUGCCCAGAUGGGAUUAGCUUGUUGGUGAGGUAACGGCUCACCAAGGCGACGAUCCCUAGCUGGUCUGAGAGGAUGACCAGCCACACUGGAACUGAGACACGGUCCAGACUCCUACGGGAGGCAGCAGUGGGGAAUAUUGCACAAUGGGCGCAAGCCUGAUGCAGCCAUGCCGCGUGUAUGAAGAAGGCCUUCGGGUUGUAAAGUACUUUCAGCGGGGAGGAAGGGGUUAAGGUUAAUAACCUUAGCCAUUGACGUUACCCGCAGAAGAAGCACCGGCUAACUCCGUGCCAGCAGCCGCGGUAAUACGGAGGGUGCAAGCGUUAAUCGGAAUUACUGGGCGUAAAGCGCACGCAGGCGGUCUGUCAAGUCGGAUGUGAAAUCCCCGGGCUCAACCUGGGAACUGCAUUCGAAACUGGCAGGCUUGAGUCUCGUAGAGGGGGGUAGAAUUCCAGGUGUAGCGGUGAAAUGCGUAGAGAUCUGGAGGAAUACCGGUGGC